This is a non-coding RNA of Malus domestica (apple), 774 nucleotides long. Lineage: Eukaryota; Viridiplantae; Streptophyta; Magnoliopsida; Rosales; Rosaceae. The record is from RefSeq and is a predicted model, not a curated record.
CCUCUCUUUCUAAAACCAGAACCACUUUCUCGCUGAUUAGAAAUUUUCUUCUGGUUCUUGGUUUACAGAUUCUCUUGGCUUCUGUUUGGUUGGUGGGAAAGCAUCUUGGGCAAUUUCAGCUCGCAAUUCCAGUGAGUUACUGGACAUUCUACUGUCGAAUUAAGUUUGCAGAUUUUGGAGGAUGAUCUCUUAGAGUAGAUGCACAUGUGGGGGCAUGGAUCACAAUAUCGUAGGGGGCCAGAGUCACUAAAGGGAACACAAACCGUGAGCCAUGUUAGGCAUCCCAUGCUAUUGUUGUGCUGAAGGAUGCAAGAACAGCAUCGACCACCCAAGAGCAAAACCCCUAAAAGAUUUCCAGACCCUUCAAACGCACUACAAGAGGAAGCAUGGAAUGAAACCUUUUAUGUGUCGCAAGUGUGGCAAGUUGUUGGCGGUGAAAGGUGACUGGAGAACACAUGAGAAGAAUUGUGGCAAGCGCUGGCUUUGUGUAUGCGGUUUGGAUUUCAAGCAGAAGAGAUCACUCAAAGACCAUAUCAAGGCGGCUCUGGUCACACUCCUUUUCCACCUAAUUCUUUUGACGAACUCAGGGAGCUUGAUGAGGACACUAGUCACCUACCACCUCCUUGUUUAAAGGAUUGUCAAGUGAUGAUGCAGCCUCUUGAUGAUCAGCUAUAUGUAUAUAAGGCUAAUUGAUGUUUGAGGCACGAAACUUUAUGUACUCCCCCCUUAAACUUCAUGGCUAUGAUUUGAACUGAGAAUUUCUAUAAGUCUGAU